This 388-nucleotide ribosomal RNA is filed under the name uncultured bacterium. RNAcentral's name for it is "partial 16S ribosomal RNA". It matches the Rfam family "Bacterial small subunit ribosomal RNA", at positions 523 to 918 of the family's 1533-position model. The record is from RNAcentral.
AUACGUAGGUGGCAAGCGUUAUCCGGAAUCAUUGGGCGUAAAGGGUGCGUAGGCGGCUUCUUAAGUUUGUAGUGAAAUCGUAGGGCUCAACUCUAUCUAGCUACAAAAACUGGGAGGCUGGAGUGCGGUAGAGGCUAGUGGAAUUCCUAGUGUAGCGGUAAAAUGCGUAGAUAUUAGGAGGAACACCGGUGGCGAAGGCGACUAGCUGGGCCGUAACUGACGCUGAGGCACGAAAGCGUGGGGAGAAAAUAGGAUUAGAUACCCUAGUAGGCCACGCCGUAAACGAUGAAUACUAAGUGUUGGAGAAAUUCAGUGCUGCAGUUAACGCAAUAAGUAUUCCGCCUGGGGAGUAUGCACGCAAGUGUGAAACUCAAAUGAAUUGACGGGG